Molecule: non-coding RNA, 72 nt
Organism: Ciona savignyi (Pacific transparent sea squirt)
Lineage: Eukaryota; Metazoa; Chordata; Ascidiacea; Phlebobranchia; Cionidae
Source: Rfam
GCCUCUAUAGCUCAGUGGUAGAGCACUGGUCUCGUAAACCAGGGGUCGUGAGUUCAAUCCUCACUGAAGGCA